UCUCUCUCUCUCUCUCUCUCAUGAGAUCUCUCUGAAAAUUUACUGUAAUUGUCUCAUCUCCACUUGUUGGUGGGCAAUUCUAUUUCUUCCUCCACUGUUGCUGCUUCUUUCCUUUAUUGGGUUUCCAAAAAUGAAGGUAAUUGACAAGAUAAAUGCAGCUAUUGGAGGGGCUGGACUACCAGAGGUUAAUGCAAAUGGCGGAGGAGACCCCAACAACAACAGGGUCGUUUUCUCCUUCGAAUUCUUCCCUCCCAAGACUGAGGAUGGUGUCGACAACCUCUUUGAGAGGAUGGACCGAAUGGUCUCUCACAACCCAUCUUUCUGCGACAUCACGUGGGGUGCUGGUGGCUCCACUGCAGAUCUAACUCUUGACAUCGCUAAUAAGAUGCAGAACAUGAUCUGCGUGGAGACGAUGAUGCACCUUACCUGUACUAAUAUGCCUGUUGAGAAGAUCGACCAUGCUCUCCAAACUAUCAAAUCUAAUGGCAUCCAGAACGUUCUCGCCCUUCGCGGUGACCCUCCUCAUGGCCAGGAUAAGUUCGUUCAGGUUGAAGGUGGCUUCGCUUGCGCUCUCGAUCUGGUGAAACAUAUCAGAUCCAAAUAUGGCGACUACUUUGGCAUUACUGUUGCUGGUUACCCAGAGGCUCAUCCGGAUAUGAUCGGAAGCGAUGGGGUGGCUACACCUGAGAAUUACCAGAAAGAUCUCGAGUAUUUGAAGCGAAAGGUUGAUGCUGGAGCUGAUCUAAUCAUCACUCAACUGUUCUAUGAUACUGAUAUUUUUCUCAAAUUUGUGAAUGACUGCCGCCAAAUUGGCAUAAAUUGUCCUAUAGUUCCUGGAAUUAUGCCCAUUUAUAACUACAAAGGCUUCUUACGAAUGACUGGCUUUUGCAAAACAAAGAUACCAGCUGAGGUUACUGCUGCAUUGGAGCCUAUUAAGGACAAUGAGGAAGCAGUCAGAGCCUAUGGAAUUCACCUUGGAACAGAAAUGUGCAAGAAGAUUUUAGCUCAUGGCAUUAAGACAUUGCAUCUUUACACUCUAAACAUGGAGAAAUCAGCACUGGCUAUAUUAAUGAAUCUUGGUUUGAUUGAUGAGUCCAAGAUAACAAGGUCAUUACCAUGGCGACGCCCUACAAAUGUUUUCCGUGCAAAGGAAGAUGUUCGUCCAAUAUUUUGGGCUAAUCGUCCCAAGAGCUACAUAUCAAGAACCUUGGGCUGGGAUCAGUACCCACAUGGUCGAUGGCAGGAUUCUUGCAAUCCAUCCUAUGGUGCUUUAACUGACUAUCAGUUCAUGCGAGCACGUGCCCGUGACAAGAAACUUCACGAUGAAUGGGCAACUCCAUUGAAUAGUAUUGAAGAUAUUCUUGAGAAAUUUAAAAAACACUGCCUGGGGAAGUUGAAAGGUAGCCCUUGGUCAGAAUUGGAUGGCCUUCAACCAGAGACAAAGAUCAUUAAUGAACAACUUGGCAAGAUCAAUUUGAAGGGAUUCUUGACUAUCAAUAGUCAACCAGCAGUCAAUGGGGAAAGAUCUGAUUCUCCAUCUGUUGGUUGGGGAGGACCAGGAGGAUAUGUUUAUCAGAAAGCUUAUUUAGAGUUCUUCUGCUCCACUGACAAGCUACAAGUUCUUGUUGACAAGUGCAAGUCCUUCCCUCUAGUAACUUAUAUGGCUGUGAACAAAGGAGGGACUUUGGUAUCCAAUGUUGGUCCAAAUGAUGUGAAUGUGGUAACCUGGGGAGUCUUCCCAGCAAAACAGAUUAUCCAGCCAACUGUUGUUGAUCCCGCCAGCUUCAAUGUGUGGAAGGAUGAGGCUUUUGAAAUCUGGUCUAGAGGUUGGGCUUCCUUGUACCCAGAGGAUGAUCCAUCUAGAAAAUUGCUUGAAGAGGUGCAGAGCAGCUACUUUUUGGUCAGCUUAGUAGAUAAUGAUUACAUACAUGGUGAUAUUUUUGCGGUUUUUGCAGAUUUAUGAGGCUAGCUGCUGCGGGCAGCUCCUCUAUUUUCUAAGAUCCCAUUUAAAGCCACUCAAAAUGGUGUGUUUAUUAUAAGUUUAGUCAUAGCUGUGUUUCAUUUUGGUGUUUUCGAACUCUUGAUGAUAUGUAAUAACAAUUCAUUGGGAUUUUGAUACCUCCCUCUGGGUUAUGGUGUAAAAGCCAUUUCAAGUGGUAGCAAAUUUACUGGCCUAAAGCAUAUGUAUUAUUACCAUUCUUUAUUGAGUUGCCACACUCCUCUUCAUAGUCAUAAAGCUGAAGUUAUCGAUUUUACCCUUUGAUAAUCCUGGCCUCCUGGGUGUUGUCUCUCCCAGCUCCCAAUACAACCUUAGCUCUGAUUCUUUUGUUUUUCUUUUUUGUAUUUUGGAAAUGUUUGAGGGUAUGAUUAGUAGUUAGUCUCUUGAUCAAAGAUUGCAGGGAGUGGCACUAAAUUUAAAAGUUUAUCAUGUGGCUAUAAUAGGUUUAUGACGUAUUAUUCAUAAUUUAAG
RNAcentral lists this unclassified non-coding RNA (2470 nucleotides) under Hevea brasiliensis (rubber tree). The record is from RNAcentral. Lineage: Eukaryota; Viridiplantae; Streptophyta; Magnoliopsida; Malpighiales; Euphorbiaceae.